Molecule: ribosomal RNA, 398 nt
Filed under: uncultured bacterium
Lineage: Bacteria
Description: bacterial SSU rRNA
Rfam family: Bacterial small subunit ribosomal RNA
Source: RNAcentral
UGGGGAAUCUUGCACAAUGGGGGCAACCCUGAUGCAGCGACGCCGCGUGAGAGAUGAAGCCCUUCGGGGCGUAAAGCUCUUUCGACCGGAACGAUAAUGACGGUACCGGUAGAAGAAGCUGCGGCUAACUACGUGCCAGCAGCCGCGGUAAAACGUAGGAGGCGAGCGUUAUCCGGAUUUACUGGGCGUAAAGCGCGUGCAGGCGGAUUGGAGAGUUGGAUGUGAAAGCUCCCGGCUUAACUGGGGGAGGUCGUUCAAUACUUCCAGUCUUGAGUGCAGUAGAGGGAAGUGGAAUUCCGGGUGUAGUGGUGAAAUGCGUAGAUAUCCGGAGGAACACCAGUGGCGAAAGCGGCUUCCUGGACUGUAACUGACGCUCAGACGCGAAAGCUAGGGUAGCA